GACGAACGCUGGCGGCGUGCUUAACACAUGCAAGUCGAACGGUAAGGCCCUUCGGGGUACACGAGUGGCGAACGGGCGAGUAACACGUGGGUGAUCUGCCCUGCACUUCGGGAUAAGCCUGGGAAACUGGGUCUAAUACCGGAUAGGACCACUGCCUGCAUGGGUGGUGGUGGAAAGCUUUUGCGGUGUGGGAUGGGCCCGCGGCCUAUCUGCUUGUUGGUGGGGUGAUGGCCUACCAAGGCGACGACGGGUAGCCGGCCUGGGAGGGUGACCGGCCACACUGGGACUGGGAUACGGCCCAGACUCCUACGGGAGGCAGCAGUGGGGAAUAUUGCACAAUGGGCGCAAGCCUGAUGCAGCGACGCCGCGUGAGGGAUGACGGCCUUCGGGUUGUAAACCUCUUUCAGCACCGACGAAGCGCAAGUGACGGUAGGUGCAGAAGAAGGACCGGCCAACUACGUGCCAGCCGCCGCCGUAA
This 478-nucleotide ribosomal RNA is filed under the name uncultured bacterium. RNAcentral describes it as "partial 16S ribosomal RNA". It matches the Rfam family "Bacterial small subunit ribosomal RNA", at positions 28 to 523 of the family's 1533-position model. The record is from RNAcentral.